This 329-nucleotide ribosomal RNA is filed under the name uncultured eukaryote. RNAcentral's name for it is "partial 18S ribosomal RNA". It matches the Rfam family "Eukaryotic small subunit ribosomal RNA", at positions 1470 to 1796 of the family's 1831-position model. The record is from RNAcentral.
CCCUUAGAUGUUCUGGGCCGCACGCGCGCUACACUGACACGUUCAUCAAGUCUACAACCUUGACCGAGAGGUCUGGGUAAUCUUUUAAAAACGUGUCGUGCUGGGGAUAGAUUAUUGCAAUUAUUAAUCUUCAACGAGGAAUUCCUAGUAAACGCAAGUCAUCAACUUGCAUUGAUUACGUCCCUGCCCUUUGUACACACCGCCCGUCGCUACUACCGAUUGAAUGAUUUAGUGAGUACCAGGGACCGAGCGCUUUGGUUGGGUUUCCUUCCCUAGCGCUUGGGAACUGUCGCAAACUUGACCAUUUAGAGGAAGUAAAAGUCGUAACA